Molecule: ribosomal RNA, 250 nt
Filed under: uncultured prokaryote
Description: partial 16S ribosomal RNA
Rfam family: Bacterial small subunit ribosomal RNA
Source: RNAcentral
UACGAAGGGUGCAAGCGUUAAUCGGAAUUACUGGGCGUAAAGCGUGCGUAGGCGGUUCGUUAAGUCUGUCGUGAAAGCCCUGGGCUCAACCUGGGAAUGGCGAUGGAUACUGGCGGGCUAGAGUCAGGUAGAGGGUGGCGGAAUUCCCGGUGUAGCGGUGAAAUGCGUAGAGAUCGGGAGGAACAUCCGUGGCGAAGGCGGCCACCUGGACCAUGACUGACGCUGAGGCACGAAAGCGUGGGGAGCAAAC